This 119-nucleotide ribosomal RNA is filed under the name Pteropus alecto (black flying fox). Lineage: Eukaryota; Metazoa; Chordata; Mammalia; Chiroptera; Pteropodidae. The record is from RNAcentral.
AUCUACAGCCAUGCUACCCUGAACACGCCCAAUUCCGUCUGUUCUUGGAAGCUAAGCAAGGUUGGGCCUGGUUAGUACUUGGAUGGGAGACCACCUAGGAAGACCAGGUGCUGCAGGUA